AUUGAACGCUGGCGGCAUGCCUUACACAUGCAAGUCGAACGGCAGCGCGGGCUUCGGCCUGGCGGCGAGUGGCGAACGGGUGAGUAAUAUAUCGGAACGUACCCAAGAGUGGGGGAUAACGUAGCGAAAGUUACGCUAAUACCGCAUACGAUCUAAGGAUGAAAGCAGGGGAUCGCAAGACCUUGUGCUCCUGGAGCGGCCGAUAUCUGAUUAGCUAGUUGGUGGGGUAAAGGCCCACCAAGGCAACGAUCAGUAGCUGGUCUGAGAGGACGACCAGCCACACUGGAACUGAGACACGGUCCAGACUCCUACGGGAGGCAGCAGUAGGGAAUAUUGCACAAUGGAGGAAACUCUGAUGCAGCGACGCCGCGUGAGUGAUGAAGGCCUUCGGGUCGUAAAGCUCUGUCGUAUGGGACUAACAAAAUGAAGGUACCAUGCAAGAAAGGAAUCGGCUAACUUCGUGCCAGCAGCCGCGGUAAU
This 480-nucleotide ribosomal RNA is filed under the name uncultured bacterium. RNAcentral describes it as "bacterial SSU rRNA". It matches the Rfam family "Bacterial small subunit ribosomal RNA", at positions 30 to 524 of the family's 1533-position model. The record is from RNAcentral.